This is a small nuclear RNA of Bos grunniens (domestic yak), 62 nucleotides long. Its record names the gene U7. It matches the Rfam family "U7 small nuclear RNA". Rfam says of the family: Animal histone pre-mRNAs are spliced by a different mechanism than nuclear pre-mRNAs and self-splicing introns. This processing involves the U7 snRNP, which contains only one RNA species: U7. The record is from Ensembl. Lineage: Eukaryota; Metazoa; Chordata; Mammalia; Artiodactyla; Bovidae.
AAGUGUUACAGUUCUUUUAGAAUUUGUCUAGCAGGCUUUCCGGUUCGCACCGGAAAGCCCCC